AGAGUUUGAUCAUGGCUCAGGAUGAACGCUGGCGGCGUGCCUAACACAUGCAAGUCGAACGGUCCUUCGGGACAGUGGCGCACGGGUGAGUAACACGUAGCUAACCUGCCUUCGAGAGGGGGAUAACGCCCCGAAAGGGGUGCUAAUACCGCGUACGCUCGCGCGAUGUAGAGGCGCGCGAGGAAAGGCGCAAGCCGCUCGAAGAGGGGGCUGCGGCCCAUCAGGUAGUUGGUAGGGUAACGGCCUACCAAGCCAACGACGGGUAGGGGGUCUGAGAGGAUGGUCCCCCACACUGGGACUGAGACACGGCCCAGACUCCUACGGGAGGCAGCAGUGAGGGAUCUUGCACAAUGGGGAAACCCUGAUGCAGCGACGCCGCGUGGGCGAAGAAGGCCUUCGGGUCGUAAAGCCCUUUUCUGGGUGACGAGGAAGGACGGUAGCCCAGGAAGAAGUCUCGGCUAACUACGUGCCAGCAGCCGCGGUAAAACGUAGGAGGCAAGCGUUAUCCGGAGUUACUGGGCGUAAAGCGCGCGCAGGCGGUUAGGCAAGUUGGGUGUGAAAGCUCCCGGCUAAACCGGGGGAGUGCAUUCAAGACUGCCUGGCUAGAGGACGGUAGAGGGGCGCAGAAUUCGGGGUGUAGCGGUGAAAUGUGUAGAGAUCCCGAGGAAUACCAGUGGGGAAGCCGGCGCCCUGGGCCGAACCUGACGCUGAGGCGCGACAGCGUGGGGAGCGAACGGGAUUAGAGACCCCGGUAGUCCACGCCGUAAACGAUGCAGACUGGGUGUUCACUUGCCUGCGGGCGAGGGAGUGCCGAAGCAAACGCGCUAAGUCUGCCGCCUGGGGAGUACGGUCGCAAGGCUAAAACUCAAAGGAAUUGACGG
Molecule: ribosomal RNA, 881 nt
Filed under: uncultured bacterium
Lineage: Bacteria
Description: bacterial SSU rRNA
Rfam family: Bacterial small subunit ribosomal RNA
Source: RNAcentral